GUAGAUAAACAUGCAUUAUUUCGCAAGGACUUACACAGGAUAAUAACCUCAACAUCAAAACCUUGAAUCCAGAUCCAAAUUCCAUACCUAAAACCUUGAUUUUGGACAAAAUUGCCUGAAUGGAUUAUUACUACCAAGGAUUAUCAAGAAAAAUCUUCUAACAAACCAAAACCUGCAGAAGAAACACAGAGGAACCUGGAAAUACCCUCCAACACAAAACUGAUGAAGAAAAGGCACCUGUUUUAGCAGAGUGAAAAAAAUCCAUCAAGUGUGAAAUAGGCUGCACAAGCAAUGAGAGGAUGCACCAUCGUGAGACCUGAGCCCUAGGACCAUGCCUCAGGACUACCUGGCAUGAUGACUCCUUGCUGUCCCCAGUCCACCUGGCCGUGCUGCUGCUCCGCCUGUGGCUAUGGAACCCUGACCUGUUCACCGGACGUGCUUGUUGCACCCUCGACAACUACUAUGAUUAUUAUUAUUUGACCAUGCUGGUCAUUUAUGAACAUUUUAACAUCUUGACCAUGUUCUGUUAUAAUAUCCACCCGGCACAGCCAAAAGAGGACUGGCCACCCCUCAUAGCCUGGAUCCUCUCUAGGUUUCUUCCUAGGUUUUUGGCCUUUCUAGGGAGUUUUUCCUAGGGAGUUUUUCCUAGCCACCGUGCUUCUUUCACAUGCAUUGCUUGCUGUUUGGGGUUUUAGGCUGGGUUCUGUUCAGCACUUUGAGAUAUCAGCUGAUGUACGAAGGGCUAUAUAAAUACAUUUGAUUUGAUUUGAAGUCAUUUCUACAUGGCUUAGAGAUGUCAGAUGUACAUUUAGGC
RNAcentral lists this long non-coding RNA (814 nucleotides) under Salmo salar (Atlantic salmon). RNAcentral describes it as "lncRNA (ENSSSAG00000096861.1)". The record is from RNAcentral. Lineage: Eukaryota; Metazoa; Chordata; Actinopteri; Salmoniformes; Salmonidae.